GUUAAUUUCUUUCUACAUGUAAGCCUUGCUUAAUCUGCUUAAUAUAACUCCUAACACAUGCAUGGUUAAUGUUCUCCAGAGGGAUACGAUUCAUUUGACUCGGAUGCGAAUAUCACCAUCAAAUGGGAUAUUAUGGCAUGGACUGCUGAUGGCUAUGUGGUAAGCAUUUUUAUCUAUUAUCUAUUAUUAAUGUUUUCCUUAGGUUUUUGUUGUGUGAUAUAUACUUACUGUUGAUUGAGGUUUGUUGUCAAAAGUAUAGGUGUCAGACGGGAUGAGCCGGCCUAGCACGGCACGAGCCCAGUCCGUUUAAAUAACACACGACACGAUACGAGCACGAAUAGCAAUGGGCCGUGCUCGGCACAGAGACAAAUGUACUAGUUGUUGUGGCCCAAACAAUUACGGCAACUAGUUUCCUCAUUUAGUCCUCUCGGGCCAUCUCUAAGGUGUGUAUAAUGCCAUAGGGGUUUUUGGCCCAAACUCCAUUUGUGGACAGCCCAACUCCAACUAGCGAAAUUGUAUAACGUUGGACCGCCAUAUAUGGACCUCAGACGAGAUCUGUAUUUUUAGCCGCACAAUUAAUUGAGUGGCUUAGAUUUAAAGUUUCUUUUAAGCUACAAGACACUCAAUCCUCAUCCUAUCCUUCAAAGGGAUCACGUGCCUCUCUCUUAUCUCUGUUUUGCUAUUCUAACUAGAGGUGUCAAACGGGCCGUGUCGGGCCGGCCGGUCCCAUUUAUACUUGUACUUUUAACGUUUUCGUGUCCUGUCGGGCCAGUUCAUUUAAUUUAUCGGGCUAUGCCGUGCCGGCCCAUUUAGUAAAAUCAUUGAUCAUGCCCGACCCAAUGCCUAUGUCCACAUCGAAACGGGCCGGGCCGGGCUCUUGUCGUGCCCGUGCCAUACUCGGGCCCAACAACCAACAUAUUUAAUUUGAAUUUUUUCACUUGAUUUUUUUUCCACUAGAUAAUUCAAAUUAUAAACAUUAAAAAUAUAAUUAGAGGCAAGAAAUGAUGAACUAUUUGAAAACAUUAAUCAAUCAAACAUCCAGACAAUAUAAAAGGGCGGAGGGCAAAAAGUGUUCAACUCUACAAAGUCCACUUCAACUUUUCAUCUUCAAACAACUUAUUAUUUUAUAUAUGAAGAAAUGUCUUGCUUUGAUUAUAAGAGAAGCGUAUAUGUCAUAUGUACUGAUUAGAUAUCAAGUCCAAUGUUUUUAAUUAAUUUGUAGUUGAUAUGUUUAAUUAAUUAAGGAUCCAAGUAAUUUCCCUAAAAUGAAAGACAUCAAAUAUAUGUUUAUGAUUAUAAAAAAUUUUAAAAAAUAUAUAUAAACAAUGAUAUUAGAUGUCAAAUUUUUGCAUUUUGACUUUUGGGAAAGGGAAAAAAAAAAAAAGUUAAGUUGGCCGUGCUUGAAGCGGGCUCGGGCUAAGCCCGCCCAUGUCGGCAAACAAGUCGCAUUGCUUCUUCUCACCCUAGCCUCCACCAGCUUCUUCGGUGCAUGUAUUAUACUUUUCCCUUUCUUCCCCUGUAAUUUUGAGUUAAAAGUUGUAACCCAUGGGUUAGUUAAUUUCUUUCUACAUGUAAGCCUUGCUUAAUCUGCUUAAUAUAACUCCUAACACAUGCAUGGUUAAUGUUCUCCAGAGGGAUACGAUUCAUUUGACUCGGAUGCGAAUAUCACCAUCAAAUGGGAUAUUAUGGCAUGGACUGCUGAUGGCUAUGUGGUAAGCAUUUUUAUCUAUUAUCUAUUAUUAAUGUUUUCCUUAGGUUUUUGCUAUGUGAUAUAUACUUACUGUUGAUUGAGGUUUUUAUGGGAUAUUAGGCUUGGGAUCUGUCAUUUUAAUGGUUUAGUGAGCCACAAAUAAUUGGGUUUCUGGGUUUUUAUUUUGAUGGUUUUUCAAUCGAGUUUCUGGUAUUCAUGCAGAAAAUUGCAUAAAUCCGUCCUCUUACUAAAACCAUGCUCUUAUAAAUUAUAAUUUUGUGGGAGAUUUGAAUGAGUUUCAAAUUGAGGACAGUAAUAUGGGUAUGUGGGUACGAUUUUUUGGAAGAGCUGAAUGGCCUUGAUGGAGUUGGGGCUGUUUACGGAGAGAGGCUGGUGUGGUGGGCUUGGGGGCUGAGGGAGAAGGUUAGGGAAGUGGGGGAAGAGGUGUCAAAAGGGACAGGCUGGCCCAGCCUGUUUAAAUGAGGCACACAAAUAUCGAUGGGCUGUGCUCGGCACAACACAAAAACUUGGGCCGAGCCAGGAUAAAAAAUGAUGUCUAAUGGAUCGGGCUGGCCCACGGCCCGACAUGGGCCUGGCUUGGCCUGAGCCCGCUUCAAGCACAGCCCACUUUACUUUUUUUUUCUUUCUCCAAAGUCAAAAUACAAAAAUUUGACAUCUAAUAUCAUUGUUUAUAUGAUUUUUUUUAUUUUGUAAUCAUAAACAUAUAUUUGAUGUCUUUCAUUUUAGGGAAAUUACUAGGAUCCUUAAUUAAUUAAACAUAUCAACUACAAAUUAAUUAAACAACAUUGGACUUGAUAUCUAAUCAGUACAUACGACAAUACGCUUCUCUUAUAAUCAAAGCCAGACAUUUCUUCACAUUUCUUCACAUAUAAAAUAAUAAGUUGUUUAAAGAUGAAAAGUUGAAGUGGACUUUGUGGAGUUGGACAAUUUUUGCCCUCCGCCCUUUUAUAUCGUUUAAAUAUUUGGUUGAUUAAUGUUUUCAAAUAGUUCAUCAUUUCUUGCCUCUAAUUAUAUUUUUAAUGUUUAUAAUUUGAAUUAUCUAGUGGAAAAAAAAAAUUGAGUGAAAAAAUUCAAAUUAAAUAUGUUGGUUCUUGGGCCCAAGUAUGGUACGAGCACAAGCACGGGCACGACACAAGCCCGGCCCGGCCCGUUUCAAUGAGGACAUGAGCUUUGGGUCCGGCGGGAUCAAUGAUUUUACUAAAUGGGCCGGCAUGGCGUAGCCCGAUAAAUUAAAUGGACUGGCCCGGCAUGAAACGAAAACGUUAAAAGUACGAGUAUAAAUGGGACGGGCCGGCCCGACACGGCCCAUUUGACACCUCUAAGUAGGGGUGCUUGGGUUUUUUUUUUUAUUUAUUAAAAGUUUUUCUUUUUGCAAAGAAUUUAUUAAAAGUUUAAUUUCGGAGUUAAUGGGUGGACAAGAGUCAAACAACUAGAGAGGGAACAUAGAAAUGACAUCAAACUGGGGACAACAGAUCUGCUCCCCCAAAACAGUGUUGUGGUUUUGUUGGGUUAUAUUUUUGUGGGCCUGGGUUGGGCUUUAGUUCAUUUCAAUUCUCUUUUAAUCAAUUAGAAUUUUGUAUUAAUUUAUAAUAAUAAAAAGUUAUCUGUAUUUAUGUUAUUUUAGGAUAUUUCAUUAGGCUUGGGAUCUGUCAUUUUAAUGGUUUAGUGAGCCACAAAUAAUUGGGUUUCUGGGUUUCUAUUUUGAUGGUUUUUCAAUCGAGUUUCUGGUAUUCAUGCGGAAAAUUGCAUAAAUCCGUCCUCUUACUAAAACCAUGCUCUUAUAAAUUAUAAUUUUGUGGGAGAUUUGAAUGAGUUUCAAAUUGGGGGACAGUAAUAUGGGUAUGUGGGAACGAUUUUUUGGAAGAGCUGAAUGGCCUUGAUGGAGUUGGGGCUGUUUACGGAGAGAGGCUGGUGUGGUGGGCUUGGGGGCUAAGGGAGAAGGAUAGGGAAGUGGGGGAAGAGGUGUCAAAAGGGACAGGUCGGCCCAGCCUGUUUAAAUGAGGCACACGAAUAUCGAUGGGCUGUGCUCGGUACGACACAAAAACUUGGGCCGAGCCAGGAUGAAAAAUGAUGUCCAAUGGAUUGGGCUGGCCCACGGCCCGACAUGGGCCUGGCUUGGCCUAAGCCCUCUUCAAGCACGGCCCAAGCCCAAGCCCGCUUCAAGCACGGCCCACUUUACUUUUUUUUUCUUUCUCAAAAGUCAAAAUACAAAAAUUUGACAUCUAAUAUCAUUGUUUAUAUGAUUUUUUUUUUAUUUUUUGUAAUCAUAAACAUAUAUUUGAUGUCUUUCAUUUUAGGGAAAUUACUUGGAUCCUUAAUUAAUUUAACAUAUCAACUAUAAAUUAAUUAAACAACAUUGGACUUGAUAUCUAAUCAGUACAUACGACAAUACGCUUCUCUUAUAAUCAAAGCAAGACAUUUCUUCACAUAUAAAAUAAUAAGUUGUUUAAAGAUGAAAAGUUGAAGUGGACUUUGUGGAGUUGGACAAUUUUUGCCCUCCGCCCUUUUAUAUUGUUUAGAUAUUUGAUUGAUUAAUGUUUUCAAAUAGUUCAUCAUUUCUUGCCUCUAAUUAUAUUUUUAAUGUUUAUAAUUUGAAUUAUCUAGUGGAAAAAAAAAUCGAGUGAAAAAAUUGAAAUUAAAUAUGUUGGUUCUUGGGCCCAAGUAUGGUACGAGCACAAGCACGGGCACGACACAAGCCCGGCCCGGCCCGUUUCAAUGAGGACAUGUGCUUUGGGUUCGGCGGGAUCAAUGAUUUUACUAAAUGGGCCGGCACGGCAUAGCCCGAUAAAUUAAAUGGACUGGCCCGGCAUGAAACGAAAACGUUAAAAGUACGAGUAUAAAUGGGACGGGCCGGCCCGACACGGCCCAUUUGACACCUCUAAGUGGGGGUGCUUGGGUUUUUUUAUUUUAUUUUAUUAAAAGUUUUUCUUUUUGCAAAGAAUUUAUUAAAAGUUUAAUUUCGGAGUUAAUGGGUGGACAAGAGUCAAACAACUAGAGAGGGAACAUAGAAAUGACAUCAAACUGGGGACAACAGAUCUGCUCCCCCAAAACAGUGUUGUGGUUUUGUUGGGUUAUAUUUUUGUGGGCCUGGGUUGGGCUUUAGUUCAUUUCAAUUCUCUUUUAAUCAAUUAGAAUUUUGUAUUAAUUUAUAAUAAAAAAAAGUUAUCUGUAUUUAUGUUAUUUUAGGAUAUUUCAUUAGGCUUGGGAUCUUCAUUUUAAUGGUUUAGUGAGCCACAAAUAAUUGGGUUUCUGGGUUUCCAUUUUGAUGGUUUUUCAAUCGAGUUUCUGGUAUUCAUGCGGAAAAUUGCAUAAAUCCGUCCUCUUACUAAAACCAUGCUCUUAUAAAUUAUAAUUUUGUGGGAGAUUUGAAUGAGUUUCAAAUUGGGGGACAGUAAUAUGGUAUGUGGGUACGAUUUUUUGGAAGAGCUGAAUGGCCUUGAUGGAGCUGGGGCUGUUUACGGAGAGAGGCUGGUGUGGUGGGCUUGGGGGCUGAGGGAGAAGGUUAGGGAAGUGGGGGAAGAGGUGUCAAAAGGGACAGGCCGGCCCAGCCUAUUUAAAUGAAGCACACGAAUAUCGAUGGGCUGUGCUCGGUACGACACAAAAACUUGGGCCGAGCCAGGAUAAAAAAUGAUGUCCAAUGGAUUGGGCUGGCCCACGGCCCGACAUGGGCCUGGCUUGGCCUGAGCCCACUUCAAGCACGGCCCGAGCCCAAGCCCGCUUCAAGCACGGCCCACUUUACUUUUUUUUUCUUUCUCAAAAGUCAAAAUACAAAAAUUUGACAUCUAAUAUCAUUGUUUAUUUGAUUUUUUUAAUUUUUUGUAAUCAUAAACAUAUAUUUGACAUCUAAUAUCACUAUAUAAUUACCAGCGCUAUCAACACAUCCGAGCCCCUGAAUGGUCAAUUGGAUGGACCUGGCCAAAAAAAGGAAGUCAUUUGGUCUAUGCUUGGAGCGGAAGCAACGGAGAUAGGGAAUUGUUCAUCUUUUAAAGAUGCAAUCCUUGUUGAAAAGUAAAUUGCUUACUAAUUUCUUGUUAGUAAAUGAUUUACCUCUUAGAUUUUUCCCUUGUCCUUUUGUGUAAUUGCUUUCUGUUGUAAUAGCUUGAGCUCAUACGCCAAGUGUAGGGUCUUAGAUCAGCUCUCAUCUUCAAUGGCUCACAUGCCUUGUAAGUGCCAUGUGUCAUAAUCACAAUGGCUCAUGUAUUUGAGUGGUUGUGAUGACUGAUGUAAGG
Molecule: long non-coding RNA, 5940 nt
Filed under: Prunus dulcis (almond)
Lineage: Eukaryota; Viridiplantae; Streptophyta; Magnoliopsida; Rosales; Rosaceae
Description: sRNA ncRNA
Source: RNAcentral